AGGGGGUUCUGAAGUAGAGCAAAUCCAUUACCCAUCGCCCUCCUGUUAUUUCCAAACCCCACACCAGCUUGUGGGUGGGCCACAUGCUUGUAUCAGUAACCUCCUCAGAGGCUAUUGUCCCCUCGUUGACACCUUGGGGGAGUGAGUUAUGUGACUUGCCUGGCUCUCAGGGCUGCCUGCCUGUGGCGGUGGGUUCUAUUUCUAGGCCUUUAUGCCCAUGAGUCUCCUUGAGGUGGAGAAUUGAGUUACCCGAGCCUCAUCCUUAUGCAUGACAUCUGGGAGCCCUCCGCUCUCAACCUCAAGGGUGGGCAACUGUCGCUUAUUAUGUUACUUGGUGACAUUGGGGCCGCCCCAGCUGUGUUAAGCCCCACCAUGACAGAGAGGGACAACCUCUGAAAUGAGAUUAGCUCAGAGCACAUUGCCCUGGUACAGAAUUUCACAGCACUUCCAGGCUGUGCCUGUGGCUGCUGCUCAGAAUGGGUGAGAGAGGGUAGAGGCAGCUGUCUAGAAACAGGGAGCCUGGCAAUGAUGCCAAAUAGAUAGCCCUGGGGAACACUCCAGCUCUGGACAGCAGGGAUUUCUGUGUUAAGAUCUUGAGCGGAACAGGAGACAUCCAAACUGGGUCACAGGGAGACAGGCUUGUGGGGUUAGGCAGCUUUCCUAUAGGACCAUGGGUGUCUUCCAGGGUCAAAGCCUGCUUAAGCUCUGUCCUUGGGCCACCAGGCCUUCCAAGAGGGCAGCCGAGGGGCUCCCUGAACCCUUUCUCUCCUUUCCUUUGUCAGACCUGGCUGAGAAGCUACAUUAAGCUGUUCCAGGCCCCGUGCCAGCGCUGUGGGAAGUUUCUACAAGAUGGCCUUCCCCCGACGUGGAGAGACUUCCGAACCCUGGAAGCUUUCCAUGACACCUGCCGACAGUGACAGUGACCCCGGCCCCAGCACAGGGCAGCCUGCAGACAGGCUGCCUUCCCAAACAGCCCGACCCAUUCACCACACAGGAGUCUACCACUGUUCUCCCUGGCAGAACUGUCAGCUGCAUGUCAUGAUGGGGCAUCACGGGAGGAUGGUCUGCCCCUUCCCUGUGUGCUGGCCCCUGGGUCUGCUGCUCCCAUGAGCUGUUAAUGGAAUGAACCUCUUCAUUCUUACAUUGGUUAUGCUUGGUUGGUUUUGUAACUUAUUUUUGUAAACAAUAAAGCUUUUGUACCC
Molecule: long non-coding RNA, 1202 nt
Filed under: Mus musculus (house mouse)
Lineage: Eukaryota; Metazoa; Chordata; Mammalia; Rodentia; Muridae
Description: long non-coding RNA chr2:29523584-29524786
Source: RNAcentral